AUUGAACGCUGGCGGCAUGCCUAACACAUGCAAGUCGAACGGUAACAGGAAGACGCUUGCUUCUUUGCUGACGAGUGGCGGAUGGGUGAGUCAUGUCUGGGAAACCGCCUGAUGGAGGGGGAUAACUACUGGAAACGGUAGUUACUACCGCAUAACGUCGCAAGAACAAAGAGGGCGACCUUCGGGCCUCUUGCCAGCGGGUGUGCCCAGGUGGGAUUAGCUAGUGGGUGGGGUAACGGCCAACCCAGGCGACGAUCACUAGCUGGUCUGAGAGGACGACCAGCCACACUGGGACUGAGACACGGUCCAGACUCCUACGGGAGGCAGCAGUGGGGAAUAUUGGACAAUGGGCGAAAGCCUGAUGCAGCAAUGCCGCGUGUGUGAAGAAGGCCUUCGGGUUGUAAAGUACUUUCAGCCGGAAGGAAGGGAUUAAACCUAAUACGGUCGGUGAUUGACGGUACCGGAAGAAGAAGCACCGGCUAACUACGUG
This 490-nucleotide ribosomal RNA is filed under the name uncultured bacterium. Its description in RNAcentral is "partial 16S ribosomal RNA". It matches the Rfam family "Bacterial small subunit ribosomal RNA", at positions 30 to 507 of the family's 1533-position model. The record is from RNAcentral.